Molecule: ribosomal RNA, 253 nt
Filed under: uncultured bacterium
Lineage: Bacteria
Description: partial 16S ribosomal RNA
Rfam family: Bacterial small subunit ribosomal RNA
Source: RNAcentral
UACAGAGGUGGCAAGCGUUGUUCGGAAUUACUGGGCGUAAAGGGCGCGUAGGCGGCCUUCUAAGUCAGACGUGAAAUCCCCCGGCUUAACCUGGGAACUGCGUCUGAUACUGGGAGGCUUGAGUAUGGGAGAGGGAUGUAGAAUUCCAGGUGUAGCGGUGAAAUGCGUAGAUAUCUGGAGGAAUACCGGUGGCGAAGGCGGCUAUCUGGCCCGUAAUUGACGCUGAGGCGCGAAAGCGUGGGGAGCAAACAGG